RNAcentral lists this small RNA (1634 nucleotides) under Cryptococcus neoformans H99. RNAcentral describes it as "Cryptococcus neoformans var. grubii H99 hypothetical RNA". Lineage: Eukaryota; Fungi; Basidiomycota; Tremellomycetes; Tremellales; Cryptococcaceae. The record is from RNAcentral.
AGUACACCCCUUUCCAUUCAUCAUUACUACAUAUCCACUGUAUCUCCCGAUGGCAUCCGUUUACAACCGUUUAUCCAAGCAUGGCAGCGAGAAUGCGCCUUUUCAGAGUCGCUCCACAAAGUACGAGACAUGAUUGGCACAGGAUCUGCCAGAGGGCUACCGAAAUCAUGCCCAACGUUACCCAGGUGAAUGACUGGCUGUGGAAAGCUGCGAAAGGAAUUACAGAGGGUCGGUCUCAGAUCGUUCUCUCUGCCACUGGAUCGGGGAAAAGCAUGGUUUGGACCCUGCUGCUUUUGGCGAUGAAGCGACGGGGAGGUCGGGGCAGGGGAAUGGGUGGGAAUGGAAGUGCGCUCGAUAGGCAGGAGAGAAGGAUAGUCCCAGAGUGGCGAGGGAAAGAGAGAAUACCGUCACGGAGAUCAAUUUUCGCGCUGUGUGGUAACAAGAAGUCGAGACCAAGGAUGAGGUCGACUGAUAUGUUGUCGAUAACGAAGAGGGCCGUGGGAAUGACGAUAUGGUAUCCCUCUUUGGUUGGGAAGUGUAUGUCGACAAGAUGAUAGCCUGCAGAGGAAGAUUUGCCGAUGCCAUUGAGUUGGAAGUUCGUAAAAGGGUGACGGGGGAGGUGAGAGAGGUGUUUGUUGGCAUACUCUUGGCUAAUGGCAGAGAGCGAAGCACCGGUGUCGAUGACAGCACGAUGGGUUGUGGCGGAUGGGUUGUUGCUGUUAAACUUGACGGUAGCAUAAGCUGGUGUCUUGUUCAGAUGGGUUCGGUGAAGUUGUAGCUGUGGGAGCGCAUGGGUGGGUAAAUGGGCCGAAGGACGGGGGAAGGUUGAAUGACAGAGGGUAUGAAUGGAGGGCUUCGGAGAGUCGAAGCGGUAACCAUCUUUGUUUGCAAUACUGUUGACCGAGUUGGCAGGUGGCUUGUAGUUGGGGGAAUUGGUGUUGGAAGGAGGGCGAGCCCAAGAAGGGAAGGAACUGCGACCGUCGGAAGAGGUACUUGUGGCGGGGUUAUUAGUCGUGAAUGAAGGGCGACUGUUGUUGUAUUGUUGUUGUUGUCGCUUCUUCAGUGUACAUUGGUCGCUCCAAUGGUAAGCGCCACAGGUGAAGCAAGGUGUGGAUGGUUUUUCGGGACGGUUGCCAGGUAGGAAGCGUGAAGAGCGGGCGAUCGAAGAGUUUGCAAAGGAGGUGUUCGAGUGAUUGUUAAGUUGGGUACGUGUGCGAUCGGCUGGGUGUCGAUGGCUUGUGGGGAAGAGUUGGGGAUGGAAACGGGGUUCGAUCUGGAGUACAUGGAGUCGGAAUUCGCGAAGAGACAUGGUCGGAGUGACGCCAGUCUGCAGUUGGGCGCGAAGAGUGGCAGGGAUGCCGCCAAGUAUGUCUCGGACAAGGAGAGAGUCUUCUGUGUUGGCUGGGAAGAGGAAUUGCUGAAGGUAUACUUUGUCUUCGUAAUAGUUGGCGAAUGUCUCGUUUGGACCAAGAUAGCGGCGGAUGCACUUCUCUUUUAAGUCAUCGAGGGAGUUUGGAGGGAGGAAUCGGUCUUGAAGUUCUUUCGACCAGGCAGCCCAGGUGGUGAGGGAGGUGUGUUCUUUCUCAGGAAGGCGGGCAUAAUAUUUGAAGGCGUUAUCGCGAAGGAGAGAAGGG